This is a long non-coding RNA of Prinia subflava (tawny-flanked prinia), 1269 nucleotides long. RefSeq lists it as uncharacterized. The transcript has 4 exons. The record is from RefSeq and is a predicted model, not a curated record. Lineage: Eukaryota; Metazoa; Chordata; Aves; Passeriformes; Cisticolidae.
GCCCUCUGAUGCAAGGUAUAAAGGUCCAAAAGAAACUGACUUAAGCUACUCUACAUAAAAAUAAUGCCUUCUAAACUUUAAGCUAUCUUGUUAUUUUUUAGCAUAUUAGAUUUUUCUACAUAGGAAUUUUAGAAUGAGGCAAAGAAGUAGGUGCUAGAUUAUGUUACGUGGAAGAAGGGGCUUCCACUCCACUAGCUAGAGCUGAUUUACAGAAAUUCCUAUGUUAACCAUUUCAUUUAUGGAUUCUCAUUUUUUUGACUUCAUAGUUGGCAAUUUUGGCAAGGGACCCGGUGCAAACUUUUGAGUGUCAGCUUUGUGAUUUUUCUCACCGUGCUUUAUGAGAUGCCUCCUACAGCUGGCAGGAGGCCUGAGACUGGCUGUGCUAAAGUGCCAUGAUGCUUCUUCCAUAACUCAGCUGUGUUUUGCCAGCUCCAUUUCUAAACUGCCAUGAGAGCAGCCUGGAAGACACACUGCUCACUUACAGCAGUCUUUAGUACAAACAGGAUAGUGUCUUGUGUUGGCACUCAUGCAGUCAGAUGGAUUUGUCCAUGUAGCUUUGGAGGAGCAACAUUAUGAUUUCAGAAAAAAGAAAUCUGGAGGGUGAAGUUAAAAGCAGUGUGUUGUUUGUUGUGGUUUGGGUAGUUUUGAGUUUGGGGUUUUUGUUUUUGUUUGGGUUCUGUUUUGUUUUUUUCUUUGGAGGCCUCUCUCUGCAAAUGCAUUCAGAAAGUGCAACUUUGCUGCUUUCCUUGGCAAGCUGUCAAUGUCUGGUAGGAUGAAUUCCUGGGAGGAAAAGCACUGCUGAAGAAUUUUAUGCCAGAGAAGGUGAUGAUCCCACUAAGCUGUUUGGUGCUCAUUUGAAGAUGGGACUGAGCAUGCAGCUAUUUGAGUCCCAGAGCUCUACAGAUGUCCAGAUGGAAGACUAGAGUGCACAGCAAUCAGUGAGUAAUUGGAGAAAACCAAACAGAACUGGGGAAGUUUCCAGCAUAAAUACAUUUGACAGCUCAUGGAGAGAUAACUUGCUGCUAUUAAUCCUGCUGGCUAAUAACAACAUAAAUUUACCCUGCCCAGAGUCCUCCUUCUCAGUGAUCAAAAACUAGAUGACAGACAGUGCAAAAUGAAAACAGAUGAAAUGAAUUUCUGAAUGGAUCCUGCCAAGUUUCAUUUUCUCCACAAGUUCUUGGAAAGCCCAGAACCUAUUCCCAUGUGCACAGCCAGAAUUUGCAGAUUCUGCUCUUUACCUCUUCAUCCUGCCAUCUGACAGUUUGCCAA